AGAAUCAACGCUGGCGGCGUGCCUAACACAUGCAAGUCGAACGAGAAAGUGGAGCAAUCCAUGAGUAAAGUGGCGACCGGGUGAGUAACACGUGACUAACCUACCCUAGAGUGGGGAAUAACUUCGGGAAACCGAGGCUAAUACCGCAUAACAUCGCAGAGGGAAGCUCUUUGUGAUCAAAGUAGUAAUUCGCUCAAGGAGGGGGUCGCGGCUGAUUAGCUAGUUGGUGAGGUAACGGCCCACCAAGGCUAAGAUCAGUA
RNAcentral lists this ribosomal RNA (260 nucleotides) under uncultured bacterium. Its description in RNAcentral is "partial small subunit ribosomal RNA". It matches the Rfam family "Bacterial small subunit ribosomal RNA", at positions 26 to 285 of the family's 1533-position model. The record is from RNAcentral.